Molecule: ribosomal RNA, 465 nt
Filed under: uncultured bacterium
Lineage: Bacteria
Description: partial 16S ribosomal RNA
Rfam family: Bacterial small subunit ribosomal RNA
Source: RNAcentral
CCUACGGGAGGCAGCAGUGGGGAAUAUUGCGCAAUGGGCGAAAGCCUGACGCAGCGACGCCGCGUGAGGGAUGAAGGUCUUCGGAUCGUAAACCUCUGUCAGCAGGGACGAACGGUCACUGUGCUAAUCAGCAGUGAAUUGACGGUACCUGCAAAGGAAGCACCGGCUAACUCCGUGCCAGCAGCCGCGGUAAUACGGAGGGUGCGAGCGUUAAUCGGAAUUACUGGGCGUAAAGCGCUCGUAGGCGGUAUGUCAAGUCAAGGGUGAAAUCCCCGCGCUCAACGUGGGAACUGCCUUUGAAACGGGCAAACUGGAGUGUGUGAGAGGAUAGUGGAAUUCCAGGUGUAGGAGUGAAAGCCGUAGAUAUCUGGAGGAACAUCAGUGGCGAAGGCGACUAUCUGGCACAUAACUGACGCUGAGGAGCGAAAGCGUGGGUAGCAAACAGGAUUAGAUACCCGGGUAGUC